GAUGAACGCUGGCGGCGUGCCUAAUACAUGCAAGUCGAGCGAACAGACGAGGAGCUUGCUCCUCUGACGUUAGCGGCGGACGGGUGAGUAACACGUGGAUAACCUACCUAUAAGACUGGGAUAACUUCGGGAAACCGGAGCUAAUACCGGAUAAUAUAUUGAACCGCAUGGUUCAAUAGUGAAAGACGGUUUUGCUGUCACUUAUAGAUGGAUCCGCGCCGCAUUAGCUAGUUGGUAAGGUAACGGCUUACCAAGGCAACGAUGCGUAGCCGACCUGAGAGGGUGAUCGGCCACACUGGAACUGAGACACGGUCCAGACUCCUACGGGAGGCAGCAGUAGGGAAUCUUCCGCAAUGGGCGAAAGCUUGACGGAGCAACGCCGCGUGAGUGAUGAAGGUCUUCGGAUCGUAAAACUCUGUUAUUAGGGAAGGACAAAUGUGUAAGUAACUAUGCACGUCUUGACGGUACCUAAUCAGAAAGCCACGGCUAACUACGUG
This 497-nucleotide ribosomal RNA is filed under the name uncultured bacterium. RNAcentral describes it as "partial 16S ribosomal RNA". It matches the Rfam family "Bacterial small subunit ribosomal RNA", at positions 28 to 507 of the family's 1533-position model. The record is from RNAcentral.